GAUGAACGCUGGCGGCGUGCCUAAUACAUGCAAGUCGAGCGAACAGACGAGGAGCUUGCUCCUCUGACGUUAGCGGCGGACGGGUGAGUAACACGUGGAUAACCUACCUAUAAGACUGGGAUAACUUCGGGAAACCGUAGCUAAUACCGGAUAAUAUAUUGAACCGCAUGGUUCAAUAGUGAAAGACGGUUUUGCUGUCACUUAUAGAUGGAUCCGCGCCGCAUUAGCUAGUUGGUAAGGUAACGGCUUACCAAGGCAACGAUGCGUAGCCGACCUGAGAGGGUGAUCGGCCACACUGGAACUGAGACACGGUCCAGACUCCUACGGGAGGCAGCAGUAGGGAAUCUUCCGCAAUGGGCGAAAGCCUGACGGAGCAACGCCGCGUGAGUGAUGAAGGUCUUCGGAUCGUAAACCUCUGUUAUUAGGGAAGAACAAAUGUGUAAGUAACUAUGCACGUCUUGACGGUACCUAAUCAGAAAGCCACGGCUAACUACGUG
Molecule: ribosomal RNA, 497 nt
Filed under: uncultured bacterium
Lineage: Bacteria
Description: partial 16S ribosomal RNA
Rfam family: Bacterial small subunit ribosomal RNA
Source: RNAcentral